Molecule: transfer RNA, 82 nt
Organism: Labilithrix luteola
Lineage: Bacteria; Pseudomonadati; Myxococcota; Polyangiales; Labilitrichaceae
Rfam family: tRNA
About the family: Transfer RNA (tRNA) molecules are approximately 80 nucleotides in length. Their secondary structure includes four short double-helical elements and three loops (D, anti-codon, and T loops). Further hydrogen bonds mediate the characteristic L-shaped molecular structure. tRNAs have two regions of fundamental functional importance: the anti-codon, which is responsible for specific mRNA codon recognition, and the 3' end, to which the tRNAs corresponding amino acid is attached (by aminoacyl-tRNA synthetases). tRNAs cope with the degeneracy of the genetic code in two manners: having more than one tRNA (with a specific anti-codon) for a particular amino acid; and 'wobble' base-pairing, i.e. permitting non-standard base-pairing at the 3rd anti-codon position.
Source: Rfam
GCACGGGUGGCGAAAUUGGCAGACGCAGCGGAUUUAGGUUCCGCCGCCGCAAGGCGUGGGGGUUCAAGUCCCUUCCCGUGCA